Molecule: long non-coding RNA, 298 nt
Filed under: Gossypium barbadense (sea-island cotton)
Lineage: Eukaryota; Viridiplantae; Streptophyta; Magnoliopsida; Malvales; Malvaceae
Description: long non-coding RNA (GBAR_LNC008907)
Source: RNAcentral
GCCACUUUGACAAUUUGGCCUGAUUUUCAACUAAGUAUGGAUGGAUUUCUUGAUUGGGCUGGGAAUUUUCUUAUUGGGCCUUGCCCUCAAGAAUUUGGGCUUGUGAUCCAUCUCCUACCGAAAUUGAAUCGUUGAUGCUCGUAAUGGAGAUCCAAUGCGCUUUGGCUGCAAGAUUUGGUGUCUUGGACCAAGAUUCCCAAUAUUUGAAAUCUUGAUUUUCCCUUUCUUUUGUGUACGCAUCUAAGGCCUUACUAACAAACUCCUGGAUGGUCCCAUUUAGUUUGGAACGCAUUUGUCG